Non-coding RNA from Ciona savignyi (Pacific transparent sea squirt), 114 nucleotides. The record is from Rfam. Lineage: Eukaryota; Metazoa; Chordata; Ascidiacea; Phlebobranchia; Cionidae.
UAACUAUUGCUUCUCUUUAACGUAUCUUUCUUUAGCCUUUUACUAAACAAUUCCGUGAAGGGGAGCAUUUUAAUGUAUCUUGAAAAUUUUUUGAUAUCCGACUUUGGUCGGUUU